CCCCCUGCAUUGGAAAAACAAAAAGGAAAAACACAGUCCUCAGACGUUGAUUUGAGCUGCUCACCUUCACAUUCCCUAGAAACGGAAGGAUGUCGCUGCAACAUGAGGGAUGAAGAGGAAUUUGCACCUGGUCCACUUUGAAGCAGGUGGCAGUGACUGUCAGGCGCAGUGACAUGGGCCUCCUUAACCCCGGAAUACUCCUCUCCAUGUGUUGACAUGCAGCCCUAAAGGUAUAGUUGUCAGUUUGCCCUGUCCUCGAAUCACACAGCUAUUCAUCAUUGUUUGACAGGUGUGUUCGGAAAGAAAGACAUAGUGGCCUGGAUGACAUCAAUAUUGUCUGAGUGUAUACAAAAACACCACGAGGAAGUGUAGGUAUUUAGGGGGAAACAGCUAAAGUUUCAAUAAUAACCCCAUUUUACCCGUGAAAAUACGCAAAAUAAAGCCUGGGGUCUAUAA
This is a long non-coding RNA of Etheostoma cragini (Arkansas darter), 456 nucleotides long. RefSeq lists it as uncharacterized. The transcript has 3 exons. Lineage: Eukaryota; Metazoa; Chordata; Actinopteri; Perciformes; Percidae. The record is from RefSeq and is a predicted model, not a curated record.